Long non-coding RNA from Psammomys obesus (fat sand rat), 1920 nucleotides. RefSeq lists it as uncharacterized. NCBI's taxonomy places the organism in Eukaryota, Metazoa, Chordata, Mammalia, Rodentia, Muridae. The record is from RefSeq and is a predicted model, not a curated record. The transcript has 5 exons.
GCACUCCGCAGCAGCGCACUGAUCUGGCUCUGCAGCAGGUGAGCAGGCCAGCCAGAUCACUGGCGGUGACUGCGGUUCUGUUGGCUGCUGUAGCUGUGGAGCUCUUGUCUGGCCUGGCGGUGCCACUGCCGCGUUGGGUGGCGCCACACAGCUCCGAGAGCGCCUUCUGCCAGGGGCUCACACCCACGCUGUUCACCUUCUUCGACCUGGCCUGGCGGCUGCGCACGAACUUCCCCUACUUCUACAUGGUGGCUUCCGUGAUGUUCAGUGUCCGCCUGUAGGUGCGGAUCGAGUGAGCAGACCUGCCACCUCAGCGGACCCUCUGGCGGAAAGGGCCAUCCUCGCCACUGGUGCCAGGGGUCUGCAGGUCCAAGGAACCACAUCCCAUACUGCAAAACCCUUCACAGCCCAGUCCUUUUCCUCAGCAUCCGGAGAACCACCAGAGUCUGGCAAACCUGUUACCUCUCAUUGGCUGAAAGAGGGAGAGCCUAAAAGAAGGGGUGUUACCACAGCACUUGAUUUUCCAGGCCCUGUGCCUGAAGGGUUUUGGGCAGCCAUGGCAUCUUGGAGGGUCAGCUCAUCAUCAACACACAGACACGGAGCCCCUCCUCCCACCUUCCAGGCUUCCAGUCCCUUUUCUUCAGAGGCCUCAUGAGAUGUCACCUGAACCUUGACUGGGACUUGGUCUUCUAGGUAGUGGCUCACUCCUUCUCUGACCAUUUCAAGUCAGAUCCCCACCCAGAAGUUCCACUGUUCCUGUAGCAGUCUGUGGAGAGGCUGAGUGAAGAGCUGCCUAGAAGAGGAAGGGCCUUUCUGGUGGGACCCAGAGGGGUGGGGUGGCCCAGGUCUCCUGUUCCCUGCAUAGAAAAGAUGCCAGUGUACCUUGGCCACUGGUACCUCCUAGCAACACCGUGAGCUAGAUGUGUUCUCCAACCUAAUGAACUAGAUGGGGCUCAAGGAAGGGCCUUGGAUUUGCCCUAGUUACACAAAAGAGAAGGGAGGCUCAGCCUGUCCUGGACCUGUAUUCUCCUACCCCUCAGUAGUUUCUUUUUGACCUGGCAGGAUAUUAGGUUUGGGUGGGAGUAGAAAGUUUCCAAAGGUCCUACGGAGAAAGAGGAGACCAUGGGAUAAAGGAGCUGGGCAUCUGUACUUCCUUGCAGUGAUCUAGAAGACAGGUGAAUAGCCGAGUUCAUGAACAGAGAGGAAGGUUCAACAACUCCCAGAAAUGUCUAGUUCUCCCCAUAGAACCAAAUCUCACUAACUCUCUGGUGCUUGACCAAGGACUCCUGAGUAGUGUGUGGUAGUGGGCUGCAGUGAUGAUGUCAUUGUUGAUUAUAAGGUCACAAUGUCACUGGGAACCUGAGGAGAAGUGGGCUGACACCCAUGGUACGGACCUGUUUCUCUGUUCCCAGGUUUGAAAGUCCAUCCCUGGCAUCACAUGGGAAUUCUCAUCCAGAUAAGCUGAGGACAGCCUGUCCAGGAGGCCCAGUGUAGCCUAGAAAUUGUGGACUGUGGGCCCAGUGGUGUCAGUUUGGAGGGAAGCAAAACUAGGACUCAGCUUUGUGUUCCUGACCCAUGAUGGCUCUGAGUUGUCAGUGAGCUUCUGUUUUUCCUGUCCCCUUGACUGCUUUUGUUCCUCUGCCCUUGCUUUGAGAUGGGGUAGUGAAGCACUUGAUUUGCAGUCUGUAUUGCAGGCAGCAGAGCUUCAGUCAAUUCAGAGACUUGACCUGGCUGACCGUGUGUUGCCUUGUGUGAUGAACUUCACAUGGACAACAUUGUCUUCUAAGAGGUUCCGGAAUCAAGGUGUACAAUUCAAGUUGAACCUCAAGAUUAAAGGAAAAUGAAACAGCUCUCUGAAGGCACACUGUCAUCCCAGGACCUCUCUGCAGUAGUAAGGGGUAAAGUCCUCAUGGCCUUUUG